This is a long non-coding RNA of Ctenopharyngodon idella (grass carp), 571 nucleotides long. RefSeq lists it as uncharacterized. The transcript is spliced from 2 exons. NCBI's taxonomy places the organism in Eukaryota, Metazoa, Chordata, Actinopteri, Cypriniformes, Xenocyprididae. The record is from RefSeq and is a predicted model, not a curated record.
UACGAAUCAGACUGAAUCGGUUAGAGUGGUUCUCGAGUCAACAUCUAACAGGAAACCAAGAACAGCGUCUUUUUCAGUAUGUUUAAUUCGUAAAUGAGCCAAGACGUGAAGAAGAGUAAGCUGAUAGCGAGAGCGCUGGAAAACAGAAACGCUUCAGCCCUGUCAACACGUUUAGUGUCUGACUCAAGACACCAUCCUCAGCUCACCGACCCAUUUCAGCAGCAAAAUGAAGACGUCCACCCAGCCUCAUCUGAUCACCCCUCCUCUCUGGCCAGCCUUGACCCUCUGCGUCAGGGGAAUGGAGUGCUUCCCCUUGGCCUGUCUCAGCAGGGUUACUGCGCUGCUGUGCUGCAGGGCGCUGUGUGGGAAGCCGUCAGCCCUCUCACUCUCACACGCACCUCACGGCUCUUCCCAUUCAACAUUUCCUCCUGCUGCCGGCCUGCCAUCGCGCUCACACAUGGCUUUUUUGUUUUUUUGUUUUGCUGGUUUUGUUCUGUUUUCUUUUUUCUUCUCUCCCUCUCUCCUUCUCUCUCCUCUGGGAUCGGCAGAAGAAUAGGGGGACAGUAAACCU